UUCAAACCCGGUUGAACAUUCUGAAGAAAGAGAGAGAAGAACUUUUGGAGUGGAGACAGGAUGGAGAGAAGCAAAGCCAGGAAUAUCUGGGAAAGAUAGAAGCUGAGAGGCAGAAGAUUGUGUCUGAAUUUGAGCAACUGCGACUCUUUCUGGAGGCACAAGAGCGACUUCUGCUGGCCCGGCUGGAAGAGCUUGACAAGGAGACUGUGAAGAUGCUGGAUGAAAAUGUCACCAAACUGUCUGAGGAGAUUUCUCGUCUGAGUGACUUGAUCAGUGAGAUAGAAAAGAAGUGUCAGCAGCCAACAAGUGAAUUCCUGCAGGACAUCAAAAGCACCUGGAGCAGGUACGUAGCUCAUUCCCACGCCUCCUCACAAUGCUGGAAGGGGAUUGGAUGCCAGGGGUCAGAUUUUGAAGGGUAUUUAGACACCUGAGAUGUAGACAGGCGCUUAGUGGGAUUUUCCAAAGCAGCUAAGCAAGUUAGGCACCUCCCAUUGCAAUCAGAGCCAGAUGGGAGCCUAGCUUGGUUAGGUGCUUUUGAAAAUCCCCGUAGGCACCUUUAGGUGACUUGCCCAAGGUCACACAGGGAGUCUGUGGGAGAGCCAGGAGAGGAACUUAGGUUUCCAGAGUCCUACAGCAACCCCUUAACCACUGGAGCAUCCUUUCCCACGGAAUUAGGCCUUUCUGUCUGAGAGGGCAGCUUGUGAACCCCAUACUCUCUUUAGAUCCUCAGAUGGGAGUUAGGCACCUAAAUACUCCUUUGAGGAGGCCAGUUGACUCACCAGUGGGAGUUACAGAUUCACAACUAGUCCACUAGACGGCAGCCCUGUUUCCCUGAAAACAGACUUAGGGAACCCCGGAAUAGCUCACCUAUUGCCCCCUCCUGGGUUUACCAAGGGUUCCCUUAAAACAACCCACCUAC
Long non-coding RNA from Terrapene triunguis (Three-toed box turtle), 919 nucleotides. RefSeq lists it as uncharacterized. Lineage: Eukaryota; Metazoa; Chordata; Testudines; Emydidae. The record is from RefSeq and is a predicted model, not a curated record. The transcript has 3 exons.